Molecule: ribosomal RNA, 253 nt
Filed under: uncultured bacterium
Lineage: Bacteria
Description: partial 16S ribosomal RNA
Rfam family: Bacterial small subunit ribosomal RNA
Source: RNAcentral
UACAGAGGGUGCAAGCGUUAAUCGGAAUUAUUGGGCGUAAAGGGCGCGUAGGUGGUAUUUUAAGUUAGGUGUGAAACCCUUGGGCCCAACCUAAGGAUUGCAUUUAAUACUGGGAUACUAGAGUACAGUAGAGGGAAGUGGAAUUUUCGGUGUAGCGGUGAAAUGCGUAGAUAUCGGAAGGAACAUCAGUGGCGAAGGCGACUUUCUGGACUGAAACUGACACUGAGGCGCGAAAGCGUGGGUAGCAAACAGG